This 260-nucleotide ribosomal RNA is filed under the name uncultured bacterium. RNAcentral describes it as "partial 16S ribosomal RNA". It matches the Rfam family "Bacterial small subunit ribosomal RNA", at positions 1241 to 1500 of the family's 1533-position model. The record is from RNAcentral.
AGAGAGAAGCAAAACAAGUGAUGUGGAGCAAAACUCAAAAAGACGGUCUCAGUUCGGACUGAGGGCUGAAAUUCGCCUUCACGAAGUCGGAAUUGCUAGUAAUGGCAGGUCAGCAUACUGCCGUGAAUACGUUCCCGGGCCUUGUACACACCGCCCGUCACACCAUGAGAGUCGGGAACACCCGAAGUCGGUAGUCUAACCUCGUGAGGACGCCGCCGAAGGUGGGCUUGAUAAUUGGGGUGAAGUCGUAACAAGGUAUC